RNAcentral lists this ribosomal RNA (126 nucleotides) under Clostridioides difficile. Lineage: Bacteria; Bacillati; Bacillota; Clostridia; Peptostreptococcales; Peptostreptococcaceae. The record is from RNAcentral.
UGGUUACAAUAGCAGAGAGGAUACACCUGUUCCCAUUCCGAACACAGAAGUUAAGCUCUCUAGCGCUGAUGGNUAUUUUGGAGGCGACACCCAGAUUCGAACUGGGGAUCAAGGAGUUGCAGUCCA